RNAcentral lists this ribosomal RNA (497 nucleotides) under uncultured bacterium. RNAcentral describes it as "partial 16S ribosomal RNA". It matches the Rfam family "Bacterial small subunit ribosomal RNA", at positions 28 to 507 of the family's 1533-position model. The record is from RNAcentral.
GAUGAACGCUGGCGGCGUGCCUAUUACAUGCAAGUCGAGCGAACAGACGAGGAGCUUGCUCCUUUGACGUUAGCGGCGGACGGGUGAGUAACACGUAGGUAACCUACCUAUAAGACUGGGAUAACUUCGGGAAACCGGAGCUAAUACCGGAUAAUAUUUCGAACCGCAUGGUUCGAUAGUGAAAGAUGGCUUUGCUAUCACUUAUAGAUGGACCUGCGCCGUAUUAGCUAGUUGGUAAGGUAACGGCUUACCAAGGCAACGAUACGUAGCCGACCUGAGAGGGUGAUCGGCCACACUGGAACUGAGACACGGUCCAGACUCCUACGGGAGGCAGCAGUAGGGAAUCUUCCGCAAUGGGCGAAAGCCUGACGGAGCAACGCCGCGUGAGUGAUGAAGGUCUUCGGAUCGUAAAACUCUGUUAUUAGGGAAGAACAAACGUGUAAGUAACUGUGCACGUCUUGACGGUACCUAAUCAGAAAGCCACGGCUAACUACGUG